AUUGAACGCUGGCGGAAUGCUUUACACAUGCAAGUCGAACGGCAGCACGGGUGCUUGCACCUGGUGGCGAGUGGCGAACGGGUGAGUAAUAUAUCGGAACGUAUCCAAUAAUGGGGGGAUAACGAGUCGAAAGAUUCGCUAAUACCGCAUACGCCCUACGGGGAAAGGCUGGGGAGUCUUCGGACCUAGCGUUAAUGGAGCGGCCGAUAUCUGAUUAGCUAGUUGGGGGGUAAAGGCCCACCAAGGCUACGAUCAGUAGCUGGUCUGAGAGGACGACCAGCCACACUGGAACUGAGACACGGUCCAGACUCCUAC
RNAcentral lists this ribosomal RNA (315 nucleotides) under uncultured bacterium. RNAcentral's name for it is "bacterial SSU rRNA". It matches the Rfam family "Bacterial small subunit ribosomal RNA", at positions 30 to 342 of the family's 1533-position model. The record is from RNAcentral.